GACGAACGCUGGCGGCGUGCCUAAUACAUGCAAGUAGAACGCUGAAGAGAGGAGCUUGCUCUUCUUGGAUGAGUUGCGGACGGGUGAGUAACGCGUAGGUAACCUGCCUGGUAGCGGGGGAUAACUAUUGGAAACGAUAGCUAAUACCGCAUGAAAUUGCUUAUCGCAUGAUAAUUAAUUGAAAGAUGCAAUUGCAUCACUACCAGAUGGACCUGCGUUGUAUUAGCUAGUUGGUGAGGUAACGGCUCACCAAGGCGACGAUACAUAGCCGACCUGAGAGGGUGAUCGGCCACACUGGGACUGAGACACGGCCCAGACUCCUACGGGAGGCAGCAGUAGGGAAUCUUCGGCAAUGGGGGGAACCCUGACCGAGCAACGCCGCGUGAGUGAAGAAGGUUUUCGGAUCGUAAAGCUCUGUUGUAAGAGAAGAACGGGUGUGAGAGUGGAAAGUUCACACUGUGACGGUAUCUUACCAGAAAGGGACGGCUAACUACGUGCCAGCAGCCGCGGUAAUACGUAGGUCCCGAGCGUUGUCCGGAUUUACUGGGCGUAAAGCGAGCGCAGGCGGUUAGAUAAGUCUGAAGUUAAAGGCUGUGGCUUAACCAUAGUAUGCUUUGGAAACUGUUUAACUUGAGUGCAGAAGGGGUGAGUGGAAUUCCAUGUGUAGCGGUGAAAUGCGUAGGUAUAUGGAGGAACACCGGUGGCGAAAGCGGCUCUCUGGUCUGUAACUGACGCUGAGGCUCGAAAGCGUGGGGAGCAAACAGG
Molecule: ribosomal RNA, 765 nt
Filed under: uncultured Streptococcus sp.
Lineage: Bacteria; Bacillati; Bacillota; Bacilli; Lactobacillales; Streptococcaceae
Description: bacterial SSU rRNA
Rfam family: Bacterial small subunit ribosomal RNA
Source: RNAcentral